AUGAGAUACAAGUGUAAAUACACCUAAUCAGAGCAUAGAAGUCUAGGUGCAAUCCAGUAGGACAAGUACUAGUUAUACAGUACCAGAAGAAGUCCUACGAAAAAUAUAAAACAGAAUAAGUAACUCAAGUGAAAAUAAAUUCAUGAAAAAUAACAUAUUAGCCGGAACCCCUACAGAAGUCUGUACAAUUGAAUUCAUUGCUCAUUAAUCAAUCUAGCUAGAGUCACUACAAGUGACCUAUACGGCACUACACUGCACACGUGUCGGAACACGACAAGACUAGGUGUAAUAUAGUUAUGCUCGAUGUUACGCACUCAUGAUGGCUAUGCGAUAAAUCGCUAGUCACCUACGAGUCGGAACCACCUAUGAUGGUCUGUAUGACAAGAAUGUGCACCUAAAUUGGAUCCAAUGUGAGCAUAGGGUGCGGGAGGUGACAUUAUAAACAGGCAUGUACCAUAUCUCUAGCUAAAUCAAAAUCACCCGGGGUGUAGGUUUAUGAGCUUUCAAUCACAUCUCAUAUUAUAAAUAUCUCAUAUAAUAAAAUAUAACUCACCUGGUACUUACCUGAGCGUCCACAGCACCAAUUCAUAUUAUACAUCAUAUACUAAUUCAUAUGUUGAAUAUAAAUUUAUAUGCAUGGCAUUUCAAUGCAUACUUUCAUUUAAACGCAUUUUCUAGGAAAAUAUCAAGUAUAUAAGUAUAUGCUGAAAACCAAAAGCCCACUCAUUGGUAUGUCGAAGGGUCGUAGCCCCCGAGUCAUCCUUGACUGCGCUCGUC
RNAcentral lists this long non-coding RNA (777 nucleotides) under Malus domestica (apple). RNAcentral's name for it is "long non-coding RNA (MDOM_LNC016518)". The record is from RNAcentral. Lineage: Eukaryota; Viridiplantae; Streptophyta; Magnoliopsida; Rosales; Rosaceae.